ACGCUGGCGGCAGGCUUAACACAUGCAAGUCGAACGGUAACAGGAGAAAGCUUGCUUUCUUACUGACGAGUGGCGGACGGGUGAGUAAUGCUUGGGAAUCUGGCUUAUGGAGGGGGAUAACGACGGGAAACUGUCGCUAAUACCGCGUAGAGUCGAGAGACGAAAGUGCGGGACCGCAAGGCCGCAUGCCAUAGGAUGAGCCCAAGUGGGAUUAGGUAGUUGGUGGGGUAAAGGCCUACCAAGCCGACGAUCUCUAGCUGGUCUGAGAGGAUGACCAGCCACACCGGGACUGAGACACGGCCCGGACUCCUACGGGAGGCAGCAGUGGGGAAUAUUGCGCAAUGGGGGCAACCCUGACGCAGCCAUGCCGCGUGAAUGAAGAAGGCCUUCGGGUUGUAAAGUUCUUUCGGUAUUGAGGAAGGUUGUUGUGUUAAUAGCACGACAAAUUGACGUUAAAUACAGAAGAAACACCGGCUAACUCCGUGCCAGCAGCCGCGGUAAUACGGAGGGUGCGAGCGUUAAUCGGAAUAACUGGGCGUAAAGGGCACGCAGGCGGACUUUUAAGUGAGGUGUGAAAUCCCCGGGCUUAACCUGGGAAUUGCAUUUCAGACUGGGAGUCUAGAGUACUUUAGGGAGGGGUAGAAUUCCACGUGUAGCGGUGAAAUGCGUAGAGAUGUGGAGGAAUACCGAAGGCGAAGGCGGCCCCUUGGGAAUGUACUGACGCUCAUGUGCGAAAGCGUGGGGAGCAAACAGGAUUAGAUACCCUGGUAGUCCACGCUGUAAACGCUGUCGAUUUGGGGAUUGGGCCUUGAGCUUGGUGCCCGAAGCUAACGUGAUAAAUCGACCGCCUGGGGAGUACGGCCGCAAGGUUAAAACUCAAAUGAAUUGACGGGGGCCCGCACAAGCG
Molecule: ribosomal RNA, 907 nt
Filed under: uncultured bacterium
Lineage: Bacteria
Description: bacterial SSU rRNA
Rfam family: Bacterial small subunit ribosomal RNA
Source: RNAcentral